GGCGCGGGGCUGGAGGGGUGGAACCCGCCCAGGGUAGUUGGCCCGGGGCUGAGGGAGGGCUCGCUGAGGCCCAGGUGGGAAGGACGCUCCGACCGGGAGGGCGGAGUGUGGCUUGGGCGGUUUCGAGGCCAGGCGGCAGGGGAGAAGGGGUCGGUGGGACGGGGCGGGCCAGGCGUGAGGCCCGGGCCUUAACCGAGGAACCCGGAGGCGGCGGCCAGGUCUGCACAGCUCGGCUCAGUGGCGGUGCGCUGCCCGAGGGAAGGGGAGGCUCGCGGAGAGGGGGGUGCGGCCGCAGGAGCUGCGCGACCCCCAGGAGCCCGGAAGGCAGAGCUGGGGCCGCAGUCGGGUCGGAGCUGGUGGUACCGGGCUGGCGCGCCCGCCUGGGGCCGCAGGAGCUGUCCGCCGCCGUGUGCUGAUCAGGGCCGGUCGGAGCUGUCCCCCAGAGGGGUGCUGAUCGGGCCGACGGAGAUUUCUCCCUAAACACGUUGACUGGGCCGGAGCAGCCAUUCCCCGACCGUGCUGAAAGCGGCCGACCAGAGGCUAAGCUCAACUUUGCGUGCAGGCUGCAGUCUGGACAGAGGCCCUGGGGAAAGUGAAAACCCUGAGGUUAUGUCCAUUCUACGGAGACACUUGUGCUCUGGCAUGGUCUGCAAUGGAGACAAGGAUCAAGCUUGCAGUAUCAAUAUCCAAGGAAGAAAAAUCAGGCUGAACUCAGAACUUUCUAACUGCAAUAUUCAAGGACCAGCACAGGCAGAGCGAUGAGCUGAAAGCUAUGAAUGAAAUCUGCACCUUAAUCCCAUAUGUGUCUUCAUUUAGGUUCCUCUGAAAGUACAGCCUGAGACAAGGCUUGGGUACAAGUGGUUUGUUCAGAAGUUGAUUCCUCAAAACAGAAGUGGAGCAUGGGGGAACAGAGGGUUCACCACACAAGAGCACGCUAUUGAGCUACUGCUCCGGGUAACAGCACACUGGUUUCACCAGGGUCUCUGAGAAAGCUGCAGAAUGCCUCCCAGCACUGCCAACUACUUAUCCAUGGACUACUGUCUCCAGUUCCUGAAGUAUCCACAGACCCAGUGAGCUCCUGCUGUACCAGAGAAGGCCUGGGGCAGGAAGUGUGAAGACACACAGACACACAAUGCAUCUGAGACGUAGCCCCCCAGGUCCAGAGCAAUUAAAGGUGGGAUAAGGUCCCUCAAAGGGAAGGCUGGUCACCACCUCUACGAGAGUUUUGGUGCAAGAAGUAGACCAAGUCGCCACUGCUGAGGGCCCCAGGGCUAUAAACAACAUUCAUCACGUCCCUCCCCUGCCUUACCAGCUGGGCAGCCUGGCUUGCCUAGUGAGGUACCCAGACCUUUACCCCUGAGGGGUCUGAGCCCAUUGUUGACAGUGCUGCUUCUAGUGCCUGGCAGGGAAGCACUCUGACACACGAGUCCUCUAAGUGCCACUUGUGUGGUGGCAGCCCUACAGCCUCCCAACCCAGAUUCCAUUACCCCUCCUUUUUUGCCUGCAAGUCCACCAGCAUGAGCUCAGAAUGAGAGGGGUGUCUGCAGGUUUGGGUCCAAGGGCAGUAUCCUUCCCUGCCCACCAGUGGGAUCCCCUCCUGGAAAGAGCCCGACUUCAGUGGAUCCUAAGCCUGUGGAAACAGAGCAUGUUUUACUUGUGAGUUGCUGGAUGAUGGUGAGAAGCAGUUAAUUCCAGCUCCUGGGUUCCUAGAACUGUGUUUUUGAUCCCCAGUCUGUUACGCCACCUGCAAUUCCCCUCAGUGCUUGAUAAGGAUUCCGCUGAGUAAUAAAGAUGUUUGCAAAGUCUCAUCUCAUUGGGAAUUUGGGUCGCGGGCUUUCCUUCUUUGCUUGCUUAAUAUGU
Molecule: long non-coding RNA, 1860 nt
Organism: Sciurus carolinensis (gray squirrel)
Lineage: Eukaryota; Metazoa; Chordata; Mammalia; Rodentia; Sciuridae
Exons: 3
Source: RefSeq, a predicted model, not a curated record